GACGAACGCUGGCGGCGUGCCUAAUACAUGCAAGUAGAACGCACAGGAUGCACCGUAGUUUACUACACCGUAUUCUGUGAGUUGCGAACGGGUGAGUAACGCCUAGGUAACCUGCCUGGUAGCGGGGGAUAACUAUUGGAAACGAUAGCUAAUACCGCAUAAGAACAUUUACUGCAUGGUAGAUGUUUAAAAGGUGCAAAUGCAUCACUACCAGAUGGACCUGCGUUGUAUUAGCUAGUUGGUGAGGUAACGGCUCACCAAGGCAACGAUACAUAGCCGACCUGAGAGGGUGAUCGGCCACACUGGGACUGAGACACGGCCCAGACUCCUACGGGAGGCAGCAGUAGGGAAUCUUCGGCAAUGGGGGGAACCCUGACCGAGCAACGCCGCGUGAGUGAAGAAGGUUUUCGGAUCGUAAAGCUCUGUUGUUAAGGAAGAACGUGUGUGAGAGUGGAAAGUUCACACAGUGACGGUACUUAACCAGAAAGGGACGGCUAAGUAC
This 502-nucleotide ribosomal RNA is filed under the name Streptococcus constellatus. Its description in RNAcentral is "bacterial SSU rRNA". It matches the Rfam family "Bacterial small subunit ribosomal RNA", at positions 28 to 504 of the family's 1533-position model. Lineage: Bacteria; Bacillati; Bacillota; Bacilli; Lactobacillales; Streptococcaceae. The record is from RNAcentral.